AGGAAAGUUCUGUGGCUCAAAGCUCCGGCGCCUUAGGAUGAAUCUGCGGCCUAUCAGGUUGUAGUGGGUGUAGUGUACCUACUAGCCUACGACGGAUACGGGUUGUGAGAGCAAGAGCCCGGAGAUGGAUUCUGAGACAUGAAUCCAGGCCCUACGGGGCGCAGCAGGCGCGAAAACUUUACAAUGCGGGAAACCGCGAUAAGGGGAUACUGAGUGCCAGCAUAUUAUGUUGGCUGUCCACCUGUAUAAACAGCAGGUGUUAGCAAGGGCCGGGCAAGACCGGUGCCAGCCGCCGCGGUAACACCGGCGGCCCGAGUGGUGGCCACUAUUAUUGGGUCUAAAGGGUCCGUAGCCGGUUUGAUCAGUCUUCCGGGAAAUCUGACAGCUCAACUGUUAGGCUUCCGGGGGAUACUGUCAGACUUGGGACCGGGAGAGGUAAGAGGUACUACAGGGGUAGGAGUGAAAUCUUGUAAUCCUUGUGGGACCACCAGUGGCGAAGGCGUCUUACCAGAACGGGUCCGACGGUGAGGGACGAAAGCUGGGGGCACGAACCGGAUUAGAUACCCGGGUAGUCCCAGCCGUAAACGAUGCUCGCUAGGUGUCUGGGACGGUGCGACCUUUUCAGGUG
Molecule: ribosomal RNA, 628 nt
Filed under: Methanolobus sp. M23
Lineage: Archaea; Methanobacteriati; Methanobacteriota; Methanomicrobia; Methanosarcinales; Methanosarcinaceae
Description: bacterial SSU rRNA
Rfam family: Archaeal small subunit ribosomal RNA
Source: RNAcentral